GGAGACGACUUUUAGGGGCUGCUUGUUGGAAAAAAAGCAAAGCAAAGCAGCUGGGAGGGAUUAGGCUGAGCUGGCGUCUGCACUUUCAACUGAUUCAAUUUUGCUCCACAAGACAUUGUAUCUGAGCCUUUCUGGAGACUAUUCAAAGCAAAUCAUUUUCAUUUUACCAUUUGGAGGUGCUUUUCCUGUUAGUGAUCCCUAUAUAGCACCGGAUUUGUGCAGCAGCCCACAGACUGCGUCCCAAGCAGAGCAGGUGAGUUUAUUCGCUUUAAUCUGUGUGCAAGAUGGGAAUAGGCAUCGUCCAUCCUGAUGAGAAACAGGGAGGAAGGCACCAAACCACCGCCUCUGUGCUGGGACAGGGCAAUGCUGCAAGUCCUGAAGGUGCAGGAUCCAAAGCUGUAGCAAGGGGAGCUGCCCUGCUGUCAGAAGGAGCCUUAGGUGGGAUGGCAGAAUGUGCUUUUCCUUAAAUACAGCAAACAGCCCUGUCCUGGCUGUGCUGGGCUGAGUGUGCAGCCUGGCCAAAGCAGAGCCAGGCAGCAAGAGCUGCUAGGUAUUGUAAUAGCAACAAUUAUUUAUUCACAAGCUGGAGCAAAGAGGAAUCUGCAAGCAGGGGGAGAGAAGGGGGAGUAAAACACAACCUGAUCUUGUAAAAGAGCGCCUUAAAAAGUACCACGCAUGAAGGUCCUUGCACAAGCCUUUCAUUUAUCAGUCUGCAGUUGGAAGAGAAGAACGCAAUAAGAGCGUGGCACACGGGGCAGGAGGGUCUCGUAAUAAAAAAGAAUGGGUCUGAACAAAGAAAAAGGUUCUGCUAAACUGAUGGUGGCAGAUGGCAUCGGUCCCACCAUGUUCCCCUUCGGUUGCGGGAAAAUAUAGUAAAGCAAUUUAAUGAAAACGCUUAAAUAAGCAAACAGUGCAGUUAAUUGAACCCAUAUGCAUUAGGAAGGAAAUCUAAAGUAUACUGAUUCAUUAAGUUUUAUAUAACUGUAAACCCCCAGAACCUAGGAAAGAGUAAGAAGCCAUGAUGAAGUGCCAACUAGAAGGAGACCUUCCACCAAACUUCGCUCCAAUCUGUUUUGUUAUGACAAGAACAAGUGGUUUUAACAAGUAUGCCAUAAAUCAGGGGCGCGCGCUCCAGCCCGGAGCCUUCCAGGUACAAACUCACAUUCCUUUUCUUCUGGUGGGGUUUUUUAUUUUCCAAGACAGAAAAAAACCCCUGGAAUUUGGAUGCUGCCAUCUGCAAAUAGGUAGCGGGGGGCUGAUCCUCGAGGUCGGUAUUAAUAGUUCUGUUCAAGAAAACUCACAGCAGAAUUCAGACGAUGCUCUCUGAAUCUCAUCUGAGUGAAGGCUCAGGGCACAUGACAUCUGGCUUUGCUCUGUAGGACAAAAUCCUUCUUUUCUGCAGUGACCAUGCCCCUCUAGCCAUGACUUUUUGGGCUGCUGUAGGUAGAAAGCACAGGCUGGGAAAGGCACAGCUGUUUUGUCCAGAGAGCUCCUGCUGCACCCUCUAACAGUCUAACAGUUGUCCAGAAGUGCCUUGGGGAGAAAGGAACAUUGGCACCACUGGAGUGGAUGAUGGUAACAAAGGCGGAAUUUCACCUACAAAUCAAAACUUUGGAAAUGUUUGGUUCUAGGUUCUGCCCUUGUGGUUUGGGUCUGCAGGUGCCAACACUGUUUCCCUCUUGCUGAGCUCUCAUUGCCCCAUGGAAACAGAUCUGCUCAGUUUUCUCAGCAGCACCGUUUGCUGCAAACAAAAGCCUACAAGCAACUGACAGAGACUUAAUCCCAAGGCACAGAAGGGAUGGAAGCUGGGAAUCAGGGCUUGCAGGGAUGCUGAUUUGAAGAGGCAGUGACCAGAAGGGGAAGCUCUCAGCCUCAGUUCGUUGUAGCUGGAGGUGAAGGUUCCCUGCAGCAAAGAAAAGUCCCUCAGAGCACCCAGGCUGGCUCAGGAGGUCACCAACACACCCUGAAGACAAAAAGGCCUUUUCCAUUCCUGCCUGACUGACCACAUACACUACUCGGUGAACGGGGGCUGUAGUGAGAGAAAAAGCUAUAAUAGCAAAAACUGAAAACGUAAGUUUUCAUGCAGUAGGGCUGGCUUAGGAGCCUAAACCAUUGCACGGUGCACCUUUUGGUUCUUAGGAUUCAAACAACCAACCAACCUAAGAAUAAAGCACAAAAUGAACGAGCAUCUUUAACAAACGUAUUUCUGAGACAUACCUUGAUUAAAAAAAAAAAAAACAACUAUAAAAGAUAAAGGCAGAGAAGAGUUCUUACGAGGGUGAUGGUUUCUCCACACCGGCACUGAGGGACUCAAAGGGGAAAAGAAACACCAGUAGGUAAAUACAGCCAUCCCUGUUUGAAUUUCCUGGAUGUCAGGCACGGUUAAUGUUAGGGAGACAGAGGGAGAGUUGAAGUAUUGGCCCCAAUUCAACAAAGCACUUAAGCAUGAGCUUAACUCUAAGUAGGUACUUAAGUUCCUCCUUAUAUAGCAGAACAUAUGUUAACGCCCCGCUGAAGCCCGCGGUAAGUGCAUGCUUAAAGUUAAGUGUCUGCUUAAGAGCUUUGUUGAAUCAAGGCUGGUGUUUACUUCUAACAAUUGAUGUCUCCUGGAAUAUCCACAUUUCUGGUUGCAAACCUGACACAUCUGUUUUCUCUUAGCAUUAUUAAUAUAGUCAUUCCCUAAAAAAAAUACCCGAAAACGCAACCCUUAAAAAGCUGUGAUGGCUGCACUCAGGAGAGCAAGUGGCCAACAAGACCCAGGCACUUCCAUGGGCAUUCCUAUGGGCUACAUUUCCUUUUCGUUCCAGGGGAUUUCAGGGGAAGCAACGAGUUGCAAAAUGAUGUGGAGUCAUCAAAUCACCUGAAUUUAGCCUGAAAAGGAAAAAAGUGAUGCCAAUUUUAAGGAAUUUUGAAUAGGCAAAGGUUGCUGGUGUGUGACCUCGUGCUGUGGUUUGGGUUAGGGUUAGCUAAGACUUGUCCCAGCUGAAACUCAGACAAGCUGUAAAUUAAUAUUUGACUCGUAACAUAAGAGAGUGUUGAAUUACUGUAUACAUAUCAAUGUCGUGUAUCUAAAAUUCUUCUCUUAAGCAGAAUAGGUACCUUAGGAAAUCCUGGGUUAUGAUAGACUCUUGGAAUUCAGCUUAAUACCACCACCAGGCUGCGGAAGAGACACCAUGCAGACAUAGAGAUAAUUCACAGCUUGGGUUCUUUUCAAAGUCGCGUGCCCACUGCCAAGAGGAUCAGACCCACGGAAUCCCACUUGUUCAAUCCUGCUGCUGUGUGCCUACCAGGACACACUCAGGGGCUGCUGAGCCAGCAUCCAAGCGCAGAUUCCGAGGACACAUAAAGUUCUCCCUCUGUACUGCGGAGCUGUGCCCGUAGGUACCGUGAAUGGACACAGUUUUCCAGGCAGGCAUCAGAGGAGAGCAUGCCACUUGGACCAGCAGCGUAUCACAUCAACACAACUGCGUGGACAAGUCUUCAUAAGUGCUCGAUUUCUAUGCAAAAUGGAAAAACAGAUAGAAAACAAGGCCCCAUGGAUGGUAAACUAUGAAAUGUCCAACACAAGCACAUGCCAAGGGCCAGGACUGCAGCCAGUUUCUGUGCUGGACUGAGCUUUUACUUUGCUUCCCAUCUCAGUUGUUCCUGGUUACGCUGCUCCCAUGUGCUCUCACACCUCUGAACACUGAUUUUGGGUCUCAGAACUCUGGGACUGACUUCUCUCAUGCCAACAUCCAUCCAGAAUAACACAACCAAUUGGAAUUAUCCCUGAAGCACUGGCAGGCAAGAGAAGCACGAACCCAAUGAUUCAUCUUUUAGUUAGGCAGUUAUCUCUAUUACAACAGAAACCCAAUUUUCAGGCCUUUUCUUAGACUUCACCUAGCCAGACUCCCCUGUUGCUGACUUUGGGGAGGUCCCACUGAGAUCAGACCCCCCUGCGAUGUUCUUACAGUGUGGGCAGGUGGUGGCGAUGGUUCUUGGUCUCAUGACAUUUAUGUGUCAGAGCAGGAUGUUACCUGUGAGCUUGUAUCAAACGCAGCAUCCAUCCGGAGAUUACCUCUUGUGCAGGACUCUACACAGCAGGGCAGUUUUGGAAUAAGUUUGGAGACUUUCAAGGAAGAUCCCUCUGGGAUGGGGUCAUCUUGCCAACAAAAGGCUGAUUCACAGAUGAGAUGACUAAGUACACCAAGCAUUCCUAGGCCCCUGCGUUACUCACAGGUCUUUCAUCUGACGCCAUGUCCCAGCGCAGCCAAAAGGCAUGGUGCAGCCAAGUGACAGCAGAGGGGAGCCAUGAUGGGGGAGGCCCCAGGUCCUUCCCCUGCCACCCCAUCACUCACAGCUGCUGAGGUCCCUUCCCUACCCACUGAGGCCCCUUUCCUACCUGCAUCUGUCCAGCUUUGGAGAAAGACAUGCCAUGAGACCUGGAGGCAGCCAAGAGCAGUCUCUGGUAUGUAUGCAAAAGCCUCCAAAUGUCUUUAUCCUCGUAAAUGGAUUUGAUCUUUUCUUUUUUUUUUUCUUUUAAAUGCAACAUUUCACACAUUGCAGAUUAGUUUUUAGAAUAUAUCACAGUCAGUUAAUGAGGCAGAUUAAUCUUACACUUGUUUCAGCUAGAGCCAGAAGUGGCAAUAAUAGCAGAUCCAGCCAGUAAGAGCAGCAUGCCUCCAGGCACCCCUGGAAUCUCUUGUGUAAGGCUGACUUGCAAAGUAGGCAGCUAAAUUGUGUGCUUAUGUGUUCUGUAAUAUUGGCACAAGGCUGUGUAAUACACUGCAUGGUAAUCCCUGAGGAUCACAGAGGCAGCACAGAGGCAGUAUUUGGACUGGAGAGCUUCAAAGCAGAGCCUAGAAGCUGCAGGAACUGGUGCUGGCAUGGUCUUAGUUCCCAGAUAUUGCUUUCUCCUCUAUUCCUGAUGCUAUUACAGCUAUUACUUAACAUUGCAUGUUAAAUAGACAAAAUCCUGUUGGGUUAUAAGACAAAAUCAACAUCAGCCUGCUUAGUAACUUAGGAAGUAAUUAAGAGUUGUUUUAUAGGUACAAGUUCCCACUGUGCAAUAGACCAGUAAAACCCUGUCUGAAUCUUCUGAUGGAUACAUGUAAGGAUGUGUGUAACACAUGGCCAGGCUUGUGCCACAGGUGUGCCUGUGCCUGCUCAUCCCUGGUCAGCAAAUGAUUGGAGCACUUUAUAUAGGGCUGAAAUCCCUGCUCAUGUACACGUGGCUCAAUCGAGGCUUUGCUGGGUGGCCUGGAGACUUGUGUGCAGGGAGCAGUGCUCUGAGCAUGGGGAAAGAAGAGUUAUGCACUGGAUUUUAACAACUCAACGUUAUCAUAAUGGAUGAGAGAUGACAGCCUUAAGUUGCACCAGGGGAGGUUCAGGUUGGAUAUUAUCUUCACCAAAGAGUGGUGAUGCAGUAGCACAGGCUGCCCAGGGAGUGGGGAUUCACCAUCCUGGAGGCAUUCCAGGAUGCGGAGAUGUGGCACCUGGAGACGUGAUCAGUGGGCACGGCAGGGCUGCGGUGGGGUUGGAAUUGAGGAUCUGAGGGGUCAUUUCCAACCGUAGUGAUUACAUGAUCAUGGGCCAGAGCUUGUUCCCGAAACACCAGAAUGAAGAGCAGUGAUGGGACCACUGAAGCACCAGACCCUCCCACCCGGGGACCAAUCCUUGGCCAAGGCAGUGCUGAAGGUUUGUGAGCCAACCUCUGCUUGCAGACCAAGGCAACGUUUUCCCACACCAGUUUAAACCAUUCAUAUGCAUCUCUACAAACCCUCACAAGCUUCUGAUGCCAUGUAAACACGAGUGAACCAGAAUCAUUCCUUCCAUCGCUGUUUAAAAUGGGUGAUGUUUGCUCCAAAUGGCCCCAUGAGAGCAAAAGGCAGAGGGUGAUGCUGGAGCAGCCCCAGCAGCGUGUGAUGUUUCACCCCAGCACGGUCCGGGCAGAGCAUUAAGAGGCUGUGAACACAAACAGAGCUAGGUUAGCUAAGUCCUGCUCUGAGCAGCUCUGAGUGUCGGAGACAUAAACAGAUCUCAUUUGAGCCGGGCUUAAUGUAACUGGGUUUACAGAUUCACAGCUGAUGUCGACAUACAUCAGAGGUGUUGUGUAUUUAGUGAGGCAGCGUGGUCCUCUGGCUUCGGAUCCACGUCCCAACCCCACUGCUGACCCCCACACCCCUCUGCAAUCACUGCCCGGCCUUUAUCUGCAAAAUGGAAAGAGCUGACCUACGUCACAGAGUGAACCUGGAAUCAAUUAAUGUCUAGCCUGCAUUUAGGAGAGGCAAAACACUAUAUAAACAUUAUGUAUCAUUUGGCUUCUGAGGAAAAGCCAUUGCCUGACAAAAGGGGCCUCUUUUCUAUAUGAUGGAGUCUGGUUCACACUGGUACAGCUCUCCUGACUUCUUUGGCUUGCUCCUAAUUUAUACCAGGAGAAGCACACUCACGUAUACAUUAAUUGCCCUCAUUAAUACUGAGAACCUCCUUGCCGAGAGACCC
RNAcentral lists this long non-coding RNA (6480 nucleotides) under Gallus gallus (chicken). Lineage: Eukaryota; Metazoa; Chordata; Aves; Galliformes; Phasianidae. The record is from RNAcentral.